This 69-nucleotide transfer RNA is filed under the name Monodelphis domestica (gray short-tailed opossum). It matches the Rfam family "tRNA". Rfam says of the family: Transfer RNA (tRNA) molecules are approximately 80 nucleotides in length. Their secondary structure includes four short double-helical elements and three loops (D, anti-codon, and T loops). Lineage: Eukaryota; Metazoa; Chordata; Mammalia; Didelphimorphia; Didelphidae. The record is from Rfam by way of RNAcentral.
GCAAAUAUAGUUUAACAAAAAACAUUAGAUUGUGAACUAAACAUAGAAGUUCAAACCUUCUUAUAGGCC